This is a long non-coding RNA of Piliocolobus tephrosceles (Ugandan red Colobus), 443 nucleotides long. RefSeq lists it as uncharacterized. The transcript is spliced from 3 exons. The record is from RefSeq and is a predicted model, not a curated record. Lineage: Eukaryota; Metazoa; Chordata; Mammalia; Primates; Cercopithecidae.
AAAAAAAAGAAAGAAAGAAAGAAAAAGAAAAUAAAUGAAGAGUGGGGGAAGGAAGACUGCGGACUGAGGAGAAGCCUGGCUUCUCAGAGAGUGGGAGAGGCUCUGUCUUGGCUCAUCUUCAUUUCACCAGAGACUAAUCUAAGAAGACUUUAUGAGGCAUUACCAACAACAGAAGAAGUAAGUCUGAAGAUCUCAAACCUUCAUCGACUGCUCAAAAGUCCCAAAGUGUCAUUGCAGGACUAUUCACAAGAGCAAAGAUGCAGAACCAAUCCAGGAGUUCAUCAACAGUGGAUUGGAUAAGGAAAAUGUGAAGAGGAAAUUUGGACCCAGACACAGAGGGAAGAUGAUGUGAAGACACUGAGCGGAGACAGCCAUCUACAAACCCAGGAGAGAGGCCUCAGAAGGAAUCCACGCUGCCAACACCUUGAUCCUGGAUUUCCAGC